AUACAUUCUGAACAGAUCUGCACAGCUAACACGCGCGUCGGCUACUCCUGGGUAUUAUAGAAAGGAUCGAUGCUCAUAUUACGUUGCACAAGCUUAUACAAGAUGAAGGGCCAGCUAGUAGCGUAUCUGUUCUUUGUGAUACUUGUUGAACUGCGCGGAGAUUCUGACGUCUGGCUUCGCCUUCCUAGGCGUGGGAUUUCGCGCAGAAUCCGGAACCAGAUUCAAAAAUUGGCAGAAUCGACUGAUGUUCCGAACGUUCAGUAUAGAAUCAUUGGAGGUGAGGACGCCGAGAUAUGCGAAGCUCCAUAUACGGU
Molecule: long non-coding RNA, 314 nt
Organism: Priapulus caudatus
Lineage: Eukaryota; Metazoa; Priapulida; Priapulimorpha; Priapulimorphida; Priapulidae
Exons: 3
Source: RefSeq, a predicted model, not a curated record